RNAcentral lists this ribosomal RNA (521 nucleotides) under alpha proteobacterium TH-S56. Its description in RNAcentral is "bacterial SSU rRNA". It matches the Rfam family "Bacterial small subunit ribosomal RNA", at positions 38 to 605 of the family's 1533-position model. Lineage: Bacteria; Pseudomonadati; Pseudomonadota; Alphaproteobacteria. The record is from RNAcentral.
GGCGGCGUGCCUAACACAUGCAAGUCGAACGAAGCCUUCGGGCUUAGUGGCGCACGGGUGCGUAACGCGUGGGAAUCUGCCCUUGGGUUCGGAAUAACAGUUAGAAAUGACUGCUAAUACCGGAUGAUGUCUUCGGACCAAAGAUUUAUCGCCCAAGGAUGAGCCCGCGUCGGAUUAGCUAGUUGGUGAGGUAAAGGCUCACCAAGGCGACGAUCCGUAGCUGGUCUGAGAGGAUGAUCAGCCACACUGGGACUGAGACACGGCCCAGACUCCUACGGGAGGCAGCAGUGGGGAAUAUUGGACAAUGGGCGAAAGCCUGAUCCAGCAAUGCCGCGUGAGUGAUGAAGGCCUUAGGGUUGUAAAGCUCUUUUACCCGGGAUGAUAAUGACAGUACCGGGAGAAUAAGCCCCGGCUAACUCCGUGCCAGCAGCCGCGGUAAUACGGAGGGGGCUAGCGUUGUUCGGAAUUACUGGGCGUAAAGCGCACGUAGGCGGCUUUGUAAGUUAGAGGUGAAAGCCCGG